This 497-nucleotide ribosomal RNA is filed under the name uncultured bacterium. Its description in RNAcentral is "partial 16S ribosomal RNA". It matches the Rfam family "Bacterial small subunit ribosomal RNA", at positions 28 to 507 of the family's 1533-position model. The record is from RNAcentral.
GAUGAACGCUGGCGGCGUGCCUAAUACAUGCAAGUCGAGCGAACAGACGAGGAGCUUGCUCCUCUGACGUUAGCGGCGGACGGGUGAGUAACACGUGGAUAACCUACCUAUAAGACUGGGAUAACUUCGGGAAACCGGAGCUAAUACCGGAUAAUAUAUUGAACCGCAUGGUUCAAUAGUGAAAGACGGGUUUGCUGUCACUUAUAGAUGGAUCCGCGCCGCAUUAGCUAGUUAGUAAGGUAACGGCUUACCAAGGCGACGAUGCGUAGCCGACCUGAGAGGGUGAUCGGCCACACUGGAACUGAGACACGGUCCAGACUCCUACGGGAGGCAGCAGUAGGGAAUCUUCCGCAAUGGGCGAAAGCCUGACGGAGCAACGCCGCGUGAGUGAUGAAGGUCUUCGGAUCGUAAAACUCUGUUAUUAGGGAAGAACAAAUGUGUAAGUAACUAUGCACGUCUUGACGGUACCUAAUCAGAAAGCCACGGCUAACUACGUG